Molecule: long non-coding RNA, 1125 nt
Organism: Triticum dicoccoides
Lineage: Eukaryota; Viridiplantae; Streptophyta; Magnoliopsida; Poales; Poaceae
Exons: 4
Source: RefSeq, a predicted model, not a curated record
UACUACGUCCAGCCAAACAACGGCAUUGUGGCACCGCGAUCCACAUUCGUUGUUCUCGAUAAGUUGACGGACUGCAUUAGCCAAUCAGUAUGUGUGUUUUCCUCGAUUUACUUUCAGUUUGUCCUCGUCAUAUUGUGAUUGUUCCAGUACUUCAUGAUGAUGAGGUAUGAGACCAUGAUAUACUAGCAUUUUAUUUAAAUCCCAUGGGAGCAGGUCAAUGAACCAUUGAUGUACCAACAUUUAAGCAGGCAAGUUUUACUCAUUUUCAUUUUAGCACAUAGUUUUGAGCAAAUUUUUCUGACUGCGCAACUUGAGAGAGUCCAUGCCAAUGUAAGCCUUGCAAUUCGCUGAACUAUUUCUGAAAUAUGCAGCUAGAGUGCUUGCCUUGGUUACAGUGUCUUGCCUUCGAAUGAGAGCUACAAUAUUUGCCUUGUAGCUGCACGAGUGUCAAUUUUUGUUACCACUGAUCCUUCCAAAUUCCGAAACUGAAGCUUAGACUCUUUGAAUUGUUGUUUUCAUUAACAAUGCAAGCGUACUGGAUAUGCAAUGCAGGGCCGUGUUCCUUGUUCAGAGUGCCGUGGUAAGCCAGGGCAUAUUACCGAAGGACAUCAGCGGAGACAUGUUCACCAAAGAAUCGGGCAACAUGGUGAACGAGGUGAAGCUGAAGGUUGUUUACGCUCCACCGUUGCAACCGACAUCCAUAAAUAAGGGCUCUGAUUAGGAAAGUCUGGGCAGUUGGAGUUAUCAAGAGACAAGAGAACUUGCAGAACCAGAAACAAUACCUUCUGAGGUGAACUCCCUUCCAACAAAAAAAUCAACAAGACCUUGGCUUUAAUUGCGACUUUGAUGAAGGAGGAGAACAAUUUUGUGUUCAAGAGAACAAUAAGCUUCCAGAGGAACUGGUUCGUGGGUUAUACCUGAGUAUGCGAACAUUUUUUUACUUGUGUUAUUAAUUGACCCUACCUGUAAGCAUUAGAUUCAAUAAGACCAGAGUUUCUUGCUUCUAUUAAAGAAGGCCAACAUGUCCUUCCCCUUCUGUCUCGUUACUUUUGUAAGAAUUAGGUUCAAGAUUUUGUUUGUGCCUUUGGCUUGUGAGAAAGCAUUGCUAAUCAUUUGUGCUGAUAA